UGGGGCUAUAGCUCAGUGGCAGAGCACUUGCCUAGCAUGUAUGAGGCACUGGGUUCGAUCCUCAGCACCACAA
Molecule: transfer RNA, 73 nt
Filed under: Marmota monax (woodchuck)
Lineage: Eukaryota; Metazoa; Chordata; Mammalia; Rodentia; Sciuridae
Description: tRNA.Ala
Rfam family: tRNA
About the family: Transfer RNA (tRNA) molecules are approximately 80 nucleotides in length.
Source: RNAcentral